Molecule: long non-coding RNA, 5295 nt
Filed under: Gossypium barbadense (sea-island cotton)
Lineage: Eukaryota; Viridiplantae; Streptophyta; Magnoliopsida; Malvales; Malvaceae
Description: long non-coding RNA (GBAR_LNC018507)
Source: RNAcentral
GAAAAUGAAUAAAAUGGAACCUCGACCCACUAUCAAAGAUGAUAGGAACCUCGGUAUAACUUUGAAUGCCACACUUUGGGUGCAAAGUGAUAAGUUCGAAAUACAAAAACGGGUUGACGCCACAAGGGUUACUUGAUAAGUCUAACCAGUCCUUGGAGAACAAUGAGAGUUGAAAACAAACUCACAAAGUAAAAAAAUUUCAUAUAAGUUUUAAAAAUAUAUUGUCUAACCUUUACAUGUUUACAAGCCAACUAUUUAUACUAAAACUAGGACAUGAAUAGCCAAUUUUGGCCAUUAAUAAGUAACAUGAAUCAGCCCAUGAACCGAUUUUAAUGAUAUAUGUUCAUCCAUUGAAUGACAUUUAAGUCAUGAAGCAAAUGUUUGUUCCCCCCUUUCCAUCCAUAGAUGCAUUUGGCCAUUAAUAAGUCACAUUCUUCCCCCCUUGCCAUCCAUAGAUGCAUCCUUAGUCAUGAAGCAAAUGUUUGUUCAUCGUGGGUAAUAAAUUUGACUUCUAGAAUCUGCCCAUUCAUCCCUUCAAUUUGGAUGGUGCUUUUAAGGCUUCUUUGUUUCAACAAAAAAGGCUCUUAGGUGAGCUCAAACGGCAGCUUAAAUGAGGGUUUUAAUUGCUGCUCAUGCAUUUUCUUAAUUGGGCGGCACCUUGAUGAUAUUGUAGAGAAUUAAAUAACGUCCAUGCAUGGAAAGAAGAAUUCGGCAGCUCCUUUAUUGCCAUCCACGCAUGCCUCCUUAAAUGCUAACUAAGUCAGCAACCUAUCUUUAAUGUCGUCCAUGUACCUUGCAUGUAGAACAGCAACUUAAAUGCAUGUCUCCUUUGCCAUUAAGUAGUUGUUUCCAGCUGAAUUAAUUACCUGCAGACACAAAAUAAAUUCGGUCAAGACAUAAAUUAAACCUUAUUAAAUUCGGUUGUAGCAAAACAACUUAAAUGAUGUAAUGACAAUUAAAUUCAGCUGGACACCUUAAAAACAUACAUUAAAUUCAGCCAAACAUGUAGUAGCAGCAUUAAAUUCGUCCAGGUAUAUUUAUAACAUGUAGUGGCAGCAUUAAAUUCGUCCAGUUUUAAUAAAUUUAAUACUAACACUUAUUUGAGCUGGAAUAAAUAAAUAAACCAACUUAUUCAAUUUGUUUCAGCAAAUGAAAUUAUAAGAAUUAAAAUAAACUCAAAUUGAGCAAAAUGAUCCCAUUGAGCUGGAAACGAGCUAAACGAAGCUCAGUGAGAUGCAAUUGAGCUAAUUUAGCUCGCAUGGGUGUGCAAGAAAUACUUAUGGAGCUGAUCGAAAAUUGUGCCCGGGGCGUGGUCGUAUCAUCCCCUCCCUCUUUAAGGCAAUUUGUCCUCAAAUCGGGCCACUUGCUCGAGAAAAAUUUUUCAAGAUCUCGAACCCUUUUGUUCAUGAUCCGAAUAGAAUCAUUUCCAAAACUUUGAAAAUCACAAAUGGUUCGAUAAGAAAUUGAAUUAUUUCCAUGCCCUCCCUCUUUAAGAGGGAAACAAUUUAGAGUGUCACCUACACGAGAAUGAAAGGAAUUAGAGACACUAAAAAUUAUAAACACAAAUGAUCUUUUCAGAUGCUUAUUCAAAAUUGGGAUGCUUAACCCAAUGCCAGGAUCAAAAAUGAAAUUCGGUCUUACCUUUCCAAAAUGAAUCAAAAAGUUCAUAGAUAGAAACAAACCCGAACCACAAAAUAUUCGAAAGGCAUAAUCUCGAAGGUUAGAAUUACAAAAUCCAAGCCCUUUUAACAAGAACAAAUAAAAAUAAUCUCGAGGGUCAAAAACGAAGCUUCCUCUUGCUAUUUCAAUUUGAUGUGACAAUUUCAAGAUCGGCAUUAUAGAAAUGAUGAAAUGCAAUCUUAUGUCAUUUUUAUACAAAACAUGUACAAACCCUUUAAACCAUGACAUGGAGCACUUUUCAGAAUCACAAAUCGAAUUUUGGUUUUGCAAGACAAUGAUAUUUGCAUGCUUUAUUUUCGAACUAGAUAAAGAUAAUGUUGGAAACAAAUAGAAGGGGUCAACAUAUUGAUUCGAAACACAAUUUUGAUACUCACAUUGGCUUGACGUCAACUUAGGAAUGUAUAUCCCGAGUUUAAAAACGCUAUUUUCUUUGGUCGUUUUGCAACGCAACAGAAAUUUCUUCUUCACCAAGACUUCACACAUGUCAAGCAAACAGGAGUUAGGCAUACAUACAUUCGAGCAAUCAAACCCUUCAUAUUUCAUUUGCACACGUAAACAGAAAAAGUUCACACCACAAUUUAGAUAAUUCACAUGAUCAACACAAGCAAACAGAUUAGAUAACAACUUUUUAUCACAUAAGCCCAAAUUUUGUUUGUGUGGUUUUAAGCUUGCUUCAUCAUCAAACCUGUCAACACCAGACAUAUCAUGAGGAAAACUCUUCAAUCCAAUCAAAAAUUGAUACUUAGACAAAUCAGGAUAGGAAAGUCUCUUACUAACUAAGUCUUCGGCAAUCUCACCAUUAUCAUGCAUAUGAAUUUGUUGAAGCUCAACUAGCAUAGAACCCUUACCGUGCUUACCUUUAGGCGCUAGUGGACUAGGGUCAUUUACGAUCAUUCCUUUCUGAAUCAACUUGAAUCGCCUCUCAUCAGGGAAAUAUUGUAAUUGAAACUCGUCACACGAAUCUUUAGGAAUUUGAAAAGAAGAAACAGAACAAGGACAACUUACAUGUGGGUUAGUUAAAACAACACUCACUUUUUCUUGUUCUCUCUCGUCUUUUUCACUAGUUUCUUUUUCAAACUCUUUUUCAAACCCUCUCUCUUUUUCCAUGACACUCGUUUCUUUUACACUGUCGUUUCUUGCUUCAAUCUCACUUUCAAUUUUAUUUUCUAUCUCACACUCAUCUUCUUUUUCUUUCAUUUCUUUUUCUUUUUCAUUUUCUCGCUCGCACUCUUUUUCUUCUUCACAUGAUGUUUCGAUUUCAUUACAAAAGUAUAAAUCAUCAAAAUGAGAAGUCUUUCGUUGAGAAUAAGAAAAUGUUUCUUCAUACAAAAGACGAUCAUCUCUUUGUGAUAGAUCUUCCGUAUUUGAGUACUUUGACACUCUUGAAACACGUUCGCCUCUUCGUAAAUAAUCCUUUGUAGAUGAAUAAAUUGAGGCACUUGUAGAGAUAUGUUUACCUUUUCAUUUAUCAUCUCGGAAGGACUCAAACUCGGAGUUUACUUCUCUUGGUCUCGAACGCAUUGUUGAAUAGAAGUCUUGAUAAUAGUCUCUUGUCGAGUAGUGUCGUCGGGAUGAUCUUAACUCCGUCUCUUGACUCGAUGAAAUUUGCUUUCAUUGGGCUAUUUUCUCUAUUCGAUCCAAUCGAUUAUGCAAUUUAUCAAAUUUUGAUUUCACCAUUCUACACACUUCUUGCAUCAAAUAUUGGAAUUCUUAUUCGGAAAAUUCUUCUUGAGACAUUUUUUUUUGCUAAAAAAAUGAUUAAAAUACAAUAGAAAAUACAUACCUCACCACACAAAAAAAAUCUCACGUUUCACUCACAAAGAAAAAUCACACAAUUUUGGCUUUUACUUCUCUCGAAUGAUCUCACCAAUCACUCUUGCCUUUUUUCACUCGAUUUUUCGCCUCUCGAAGUUCUUCGCAAACUAAAUCGACAAAUCAAUACCGUUUGGCGUCGGCUUACAAAAUUUAUUUGGCUUGGUGGGUAAUGAUGUCGGAAAUGGUAGGCUAUCAAACAAACUAGAAAUGGUUAAGUGUGGCUAUAUAGAUAAGGUCCUUCGGGUAACAAGCAAUGCUUUAACAAACUCAAAACAAAUUUCAAUCACUCUUUUUUUUUUCAAUUUUGAUUUUUUUUCUUCUUUUUUUUUAAUUCUGAAUUUUUUUCUUCUUUUUUUUCUUCAAUACUAAAUACAAAAAGUAAAAAUAAAUUGAAUACAAACUUUUUUUUUUGAAUUUUUUUUUCGAAAUUUUUUUUCGAUUUUUUUACAAUACCGUAAUGACAAAAUGUCGAUCUUACUCCGAUUUAGCUAGCUUUGAUACCAAAUGAUACGCCCCAGCUCGGAAAGGAGAGUCGAGUCGUAGAUAUGCCCGAUCGUGAAUUGGAGUAAUACUCGAGGGUGGAUGAAAUAGGUUAAGAAAGAAGAGAUAAAGGCUCAAAUUUAGUUCAAAAGGGGUUAUGGAAUGUAUUGAGGUUGAUAGGUGAAUGAAAACCAAGUAUUCAAGUUGAACCAACACAAUAUAAGUGUGUUAACCCGGGACUUAUACGAAUACUUAGAAAAGGUUAAAUGUUGUACGGAUGGAAAACGAAUAAAAUGGAACCUCGACCCACUAUCAAAGAUGAUAGGAACCUCGGUAUAACUUUGAACGCCACACUUUGGGUGCAAAGUGAUAAGUUCGAAAUACAAAAACGGGUUGACGCCACAAGGGUUACUUGAUAAGUCUAACUAGUCCUUGGAGAACAAUGAGAGUUGAAAACAAACUCACAAAGUAAACAAAUUUCAUAUAAGUUUUAAAAAUAUAUUGUCUAACCUUUACAUGUUUACAAGCCAACUAUUUAUACAAAAACUAGGACAUGAAUAGCCAAUUUUGGCCAUUAAUAAGUAACAUGAAUCAGCCCAUGAACCGAUUUUAAUGAUAUAUGUUCAUCCAUUGAAUGACAUUUAAGUCACAUUCUUCCCCCCUUGCCAUCCAUAGAUGCAUCCUUAGUCAUGAAGCAAAUGUUUGUUCAUCGUGGGUAAUAAAUUUGACUUCUAGAAUCUGCCCAUUCACCCCUUCAAUUUGGAUGGUGCUUUUAAGGCUUCUUUGUUUCCACGAAAAAGGCUCUUAGGUGAGCUCAAACGGCAGCUUAAAUGAGGGUUUUAAUUGCUACUCAUGCAUUCUCUUAAUUGGGCGGCACCUUGAUGAUAUUGUAGAGAAUUAAAUAACGUCCAUGCAUGGAAAGAAGAAUUCGGCAGCUCCUUUAUUGCCAUCCACGCAUGCCUCCUUAAAUGCUAACUAAGUUAGCAACCUAUCUUUAAUGCCGUCCAUGUACCUUGCAUGUAGAACAGCAACUUAAAUGCAUGUCUCCUUUGCCAUUAAGUAGUUGUUUCCAGCUGAAUUAAUUACCUGCAGACACAAAAUAAAUUCGGUCAAGACAUAAAUUAAACCUCAUUAAAUUCGGUUGUAGCAAAACAACUUAAAUGAUGUAAUGACAAUUAAAUUCAGCUGGACACCUUAAAAACAUACAUUAAAUUCAGCCAAACAUGUAGUAGCAGCAUUAAAUUCGUCCAGGCAUAUUUAUAACAUGUAGUGGCAGCAUUAAAUUCGUCCAGUUUUAAUAAAUUUAAUACUAACACUUAU